This 497-nucleotide ribosomal RNA is filed under the name uncultured bacterium. Its description in RNAcentral is "partial 16S ribosomal RNA". It matches the Rfam family "Bacterial small subunit ribosomal RNA", at positions 28 to 507 of the family's 1533-position model. The record is from RNAcentral.
GAUGAACGCUGGCGGCGUGCCUAAUACAUGCAAGUCGAGCGAACGGACGAGAAGCUUGCUUCUCUGAUGUUAGCGGCGGACGGGUGAGUCACACGUGGAUAACCUACCUAUAAGACUGGGAUAACUUCGGGAAACCGGAGCUAAUACCGGAUAAUAUUUUGAACCGCAUGGUUCAAAAGUGAAAGACGGUCUUGCUGUCACUUAUAGAUGGAUCCGCGCUGCAUUAGCUAGUUGGUAAGGUAACGGCUUACCAAGGCAACGAUGCAUAGCCGACCUGAGAGGGGGAUCGGCGACACUGGAACUGAGACAGGGUCCAGACUCCUACGGGAGGCAGCAGUAGGGAAUCUUCCGCAAUGGGCGAAAGCCUGACGGAGCAACGCCGCGUGAGUGAUGAAGGUCUUCGGAGCGUAAAACUCUGUUAUUAGGGAAGAACAUAUGUGUAAGUAACUGUGCACAGCUUGACGGUACCUAAUCAGAAAGCCACGGCUAACUACGUG